ACAGCAGUAGCCGCGGUAAUACGAGGGGGGCAAGCGUUGUUCGGAAUUAUUGGGCGUAAAGGGUGCGUAGGCGGUUUGACAAGUCUUAUGUGAAAUCUCUGGGCUCAACCCAGAGUCUGCAUGGGAAACUGUCGAGCUUGAGUAUGGGAGAGGUGAGUGGAAUUUCCGGUGUAGCGGUGAAAUGCGUAGAUAUCGGAAGGAACACCUGUGGCGAAAGCGGCUCACUGGACCAUUACUGACGCUGAUGCACGAAAGCUAGGGGAGCAAACAGGAUUAGAUACCCCCGUAGUCCCUGUCUCUUAUAC
Molecule: ribosomal RNA, 305 nt
Filed under: uncultured bacterium
Lineage: Bacteria
Description: partial 16S ribosomal RNA
Rfam family: Bacterial small subunit ribosomal RNA
Source: RNAcentral